Molecule: long non-coding RNA, 724 nt
Filed under: Ananas comosus (pineapple)
Lineage: Eukaryota; Viridiplantae; Streptophyta; Magnoliopsida; Poales; Bromeliaceae
Description: long non-coding RNA (ACOM_LNC036118)
Source: RNAcentral
UUUUUAGGAAAAAUUUAAGAAAAUUUUUACUUCAACAAUAUCUACUCGCCGCAACGCGCAGGUAUCUUCACUAGUUUUCUUUUAAAGAUGGUAAAUUAUUUACUGCUUCAAUGAAAGACGCAUUUCAAAUUAUCUAUAAAAGCAGUCAAUCAUUCACCAUCUUUCUCUUAGCAAAUAAUAAAUCAUUAAUUAAAAUGAAUGAUUUAUUGUUUAUUUCUUUAUUUUCAGAUAUAUUCCUAACAACCAUAAAAAUAUUUUCAACAAAUCACAUAAUCUUAACAAUCUAAAAAACUUUAAUAAUCUAUCCAUAUAAUCCUAACAAUCAAAUAAAAAUUCUAAUAAUCCAAAAACAAUACUGAUAACCUCAUUUUUCUUUUUUUAUUUUUCAUAUCGAAUCCUAACAACCAUAUAAAAAUCUCAACAAAUCAGUACAAUCUUAACAAUCUAAAAAAAUUCUAACAAAUUAUUUCCAAGUAGCUGGUGAAUAAUUCACUGCUUUAGUAGAAAAUUAUGAAGAGGGUGAAUCAUUCGCCAUCUUCUUAAAGAUGGUGAACGAUUCACUGUUUUUACAAGAAAGUUCCACCCCGCGCUGACUUAGUAAAAAGAAGCUUAUUUCACUAAAUAUUUUUUUAAUAGGGUCAUUUAAGCGAAUUAUAAUAUUUUUUAAGAUUAUUUGGAAAAUUAGUCCCUUAGCAGGAACUAGCUAGGGGUGGUAAUCCAACUC